Long non-coding RNA from Falco peregrinus (peregrine falcon), 1972 nucleotides. RefSeq lists it as uncharacterized. The record is from RefSeq and is a predicted model, not a curated record. NCBI's taxonomy places the organism in Eukaryota, Metazoa, Chordata, Aves, Falconiformes, Falconidae. The transcript has 2 exons.
CUUAAGACGGCAUUGCAUAAAAGCUGGGGUUUGAUGUCUAGAGAUGGAGCAGUCCAGGACACUGACACCUGCAAAGGUCCCGAUUUUACAGAACAUUCUCUUUUCCGUGUUCAGAACAACACUGGAAUCUUCUCAACCAAAGGGAGCUACAAGCAGCCAUGGAAGGCUACAGGACAAACGGAACCACUACAUCACGAUAAGGAACUACCUCUGCUAUUCAGCCACAAAGAGACAAAACCCAAACCUCUCGAAAACCUUUCAUGAAACUCAUCUUGCUGCAUUGUGAAAUUAUGAUUGUAUGUGGAAAAACUCACUAUGAAUGAGUAUCUGCAAGCAGCCACAGAGAUACGUCUCAGGCUUAGGGAGCACCAGUCCGCCCUGAGUACCAGGUUCACCAAGCUGAAUACCUGCUGGGGAGCUGUAAAACCAGAGCACGGAGGAACCUAUACAGAAAUGCACAGCAAAUUACCAACAAUGCUAAAUCAGAUCCCAGACUGAACAGCUCCUAGUGCUUCCUUGUGAUUUAAUUCACCAAAUUUGCACCAAUUGACAGAGGCUUCAACAGGGAAGUCCUGCUUUCAACCUGAGCUGCCUUGGAGAUUUCAAAGAGAGGAGGUGAAGAUGUACAGGCUUAAAUCUGUUUCAUUCCUAAUGAGAUCAGCCCUAGAAAGGACGGUUCAGGUGGAUUCAGGAACCCAUCCCAAUCCCUGCCUUGUACAACACAAUUCAGCUUCUGCAGGCUCUGCUUCUUCUCAUGUGAGAAAUGGUGCUUAAGAAGAGCCCAGCACCUCAAUGGUGCAUAAAUAAGUCAGGAAUUUAGAUGAAAACUCUCCAAUAGAUUUUGUAUCCAUCUCAAGGGUUAAAAAUAGGCCAAAUGAAAUUUCAAUGUUUUACAGUAAUGUAAAUUUUACAGCAUUUUCCUGUUUUGAUGAUUCUUGAAUGCUUUUAAGGCAUGCUUUAAAGUAGUUUAGCUGCUAUAGUUCAACAUAGGUAUUCCAUUUUCAUAUUAUAUAUGUAUUUGUAAAUUAUUUUGUUUGAACUGAAGACUGAAUAAACUUGUGAUCUUGAGAAUUUAUUGAAAAAAAACUCAUUCAGUAGGCUCUAAUAAGGACAGCAGAUCUCUAAAGGGCUGUAUUUGUCAAAUAUCAACCAUAUAUCGAAUGGGGGAAUUUUUUUUGAUUUGAACCAAGAUUUAGCCACUUAAAUGUAACAAAGAAGCCUGAAAUUUUCAGAAGCAUCAAACAGCUGUUCCAGAAUCAGAGCACUGCACAAACUCUGUGGCUUUAUGUUUUUCAUCAGGUGCUUUUUGGAGGGGAGGGGGGGAAGGGACUGAAAGAUAGUAUUUUGUUUUUCCUAAAACAUAAAUAUGUUUUGAUUUUAUGUAAUGAAUAAAUUCAAUUUGUUGUUAAAAAGAAAUAAACAUCAGCCUUGACUUCAGUGUAAAAGGCAUUCAGAGGAAAUAAACAUUACGAUAACAGUUCAGUGCUCAGGUUUGCCCUUGUAGUGCGGGGGACACUGUACUUCUGCACAAAAGCCCCGAGGCAACAAACACAGAAACAAACGAUGCAAAUGGAGUGGUGGGGCGAUACAGUUGUCAUCUUUAUUUUCCUGCAGCUCUUUCACUUUCCAGUUCCGAGACAUUUUUGUUAAUGACUUGAAAAGUCAUUAUUCUUUGCAGAGCGUUGAUCUAGAAGUUAAAAACCCUAAUUUACAAGUAGCAUAGACCUGAUCCCAAAGAAUGCCAGGACAAAAGAAGAAAAGGAUAAAAGAAGCCCCAGGAUUUUUGCAUAGCAAAAGAUCAGUGUAAGCUUUCCCCAAGAACAAAUAGAGCAAUAAUCAGGUAUGACCAAAAUAAUUUUCCUGGUUUUAAUUUGUAGAGUUUUAAUAACUAAAGAAAUAAAUGAUUUUAUAUGGUGAUCAACCUAUGGACUAUAUGUAUCAAAUAAUAUAAUGUAUUAACAGCAUAACUGAA